CCGCCGGAUAAAUAGUCCAGGUUCUGCGGUUUGCUUCUGGGUGGCUUUGGUGCACUUUUCAGGGUUUCACGUUUUUCGGUUGCAAAGUAGGUAAAUUCUGGUAGAGACUUUUUUCCAAAACUUACUCACCUGAAAAACAUAAAAACUUUUUUUGGUGAGGGUGAGGUGGGGUAAAAACGUCAAUGUUAAGUCUGCUUUUCUCUACAUUUGGGACAUUGUGUAUGUACGUACUUGACAGUAUUUUAUAGUUUCCAAAGGAUUUCCUCAUCAUUGUCUAAUAACACUCGCCACGACCAUGACGUAUUGGUAGGAGUUAAUUUGACCCGUUUUUUUCCUUACAAAAAUUAUCUUCAGAGAGGGUGUGGACUGAAAAAAAAGAAAACAAACAAAAAAAUCUCCACAGCCUAGAAAUAGGGAAUUACCUUUUAUUCAGCGCACUGGCUGAGGACUUAAGCUGUGGAGAUGGCCUCUCAGAUGUCUGCGAGUGACUGUUCUGAAGAGCAGAGCGCUGGGUUAUGAUAGUCAGCACUCAGAGUAGAAAGUGAGCUGUUCCAAGCAGUACAGGAGGAAACUCAAGGACAGGACUUCAAAUGAUUCAGCCUUGGGAGUCCCAGAAGUCACUUCUGUCACAUUCUGUUGGUCAAGGAAGCCACGCAGAUUCAAAAUGACAAGGAUAGAUGAUCAAGACAAGGAAAUGAAAGAGGACCCAGGUGCCACAUGGAGACUUCAUCUCAAGAACAGUGAGGCUUCCUUUGUCUUAAAAAGGUGGUGCAGUGGUAAAGAAUUCACCUGCCAAGCAGAAGAUGCAGAAGACGUGGGUUCCAUUC
This is a long non-coding RNA of Bubalus bubalis (water buffalo), 827 nucleotides long. RefSeq lists it as uncharacterized. The transcript is spliced from 4 exons. The record is from RefSeq and is a predicted model, not a curated record. NCBI's taxonomy places the organism in Eukaryota, Metazoa, Chordata, Mammalia, Artiodactyla, Bovidae.